ACCUAAGUAUUUUAAUUAUAGAAUAUUGGCUUGUGGUGCCUUUGGUGUAGUUUUGUAUUGCCUUGGGUU
Molecule: transfer RNA, 69 nt
Filed under: Stolotermes victoriensis
Lineage: Eukaryota; Metazoa; Arthropoda; Insecta; Blattodea; Termopsidae
Description: tRNA-His
Source: RNAcentral